CCUACGGGUGGCAGCAGUGGGGAAUAUUGCACAAUGGGGGAAACCCUGAUGCAGCGACGCCGCGUGAGUGAAGAAGUCUUUCGGUAUGUAAAGCUCUAUCAGCAGGGAAGAAAUACAGUCCUUCUGACUUUGGACGGUACCUGACUAAGAAUCCCCGGCUAACUACGUGCCAGCAGCCGCGGUAAUACGUCGGGGGGAACCGUUAUCCGGAUUUACUGGGUGUAAAGGGAGAGUAGACGGCAGGGCAAGUCUGGAGUGAAAUCCCAUGGCUUAACCAUGGAACUGAUGUGGAAACUGUGCAGCUGGAGUGCAGGAGAGGUAAGCGGAAGUCCUAGUGUAGCGGUGAAAUGCGUAGAUAUUAGGAGGAACACCAGUGGCGAAGGCGGCUUACUGGACUGUAACUGACGUUGAGGCUCGAAAGCGUGGGGAGCAAACAGGAUUAGAUACCCUAGUAGUC
Molecule: ribosomal RNA, 457 nt
Filed under: uncultured bacterium
Lineage: Bacteria
Description: partial 16S ribosomal RNA
Rfam family: Bacterial small subunit ribosomal RNA
Source: RNAcentral